RNAcentral lists this long non-coding RNA (625 nucleotides) under Camelus dromedarius (Arabian camel). RNAcentral's name for it is "lncRNA (ENSCDRG00005003164.1)". The record is from RNAcentral. Lineage: Eukaryota; Metazoa; Chordata; Mammalia; Artiodactyla; Camelidae.
UCAGGCUUAUUGAUAUAAUAAGCGACGAGAGAAAUGCUGCAUAAAGAAAGAUGAGCUCUGUUGUGUUGCAGUAAGAACCUUAGCAGCAGAGUGGGCCAGAAGAGAGGCAGCUGAGAGGGGAAAGGAGGCUCUUGAGGAAAAGAUUAAAGAGCUGCAGCAAAUGUUGGAGGACCAAGAAAGAGUCUCCGAGGGAUUUAGAGCCCAAGUGCCAGAGGAGAUGAAAGAAAGAGAAAAGACCUCGGCAGAAGAUCUGGACAAAAAAGAAGUUGAGAGGGAAAUGGAAUUGCUUAAACAAAAGAUUAAAGAGCUGCAGCAAAUGUUGGAGGACCAAGAAAGAGUCUCCGAGGGAUUUAGACCCCAAAUACCAGAGGAGAUGAAAGAAAGAGAAAAGACCUCGGCAGAAGAGCCAAACAAAAGAGAAGAAGCUGAGAGGGAAGAGGAGUCUCUUGAGCAAAAUGUUAAAGGGCUGCAGCAGAAGUUGGAGGACCGACAAACAGACGUCAAUGGAUUAAAAGCCCAAGUGACAGAGGGGAUCAGCAAAAGGGAAAAGACCUCAGUAGGUACAGGGGAGGGCUCAGCUCACAGUGGGGCGGGGAGGUUCCUGCAGUGCCCUCGGAGACCCUGA